Molecule: non-coding RNA, 1043 nt
Organism: Drosophila melanogaster (fruit fly)
Lineage: Eukaryota; Metazoa; Arthropoda; Insecta; Diptera; Drosophilidae
Source: Ensembl
GAAAAUUAGGUAAAAUAAUUUCAGAUUCUUUCUGUUAUCGCUUGCACUCUGUGAGAAGACUUAAAACUCCCCAAAAAUCUGGAUGCAGGGGCGUGGCCUAGCAACAGCAAAGACGGCUGCGAUGCAAGAAGAGUCAAGUGCAGUCAGGUCAAACGGUAAUUAAAGGACCUGGAACCCCGGCAAAGCGGAGAGAUCGUGAACUAACGGUACAAUAGUUGAACCUUGUACCGGAUCGAGCCGUGCGCAAAAGGGGAAAUAACGGGGUCUUCGCGGCAUAUAAAGGGGCGGUGCAAAUCCAGCUCGAGGCAGUCAGUCACAACACACACGCGAGGAGCCGUACGUACGCGAAGAUAGUCGAGGAGAGUAACCGGCGCGGUCAGGACGCGGCCGCGUAGUCGGACGGUCGGAACGGAGUCUGAAGGCGAAGGAAUAGACAGUUAGUGAACUAGGCCGCGCGUGGAAAGAUCAACCCGUGGACGAUACACCCUGCCCCAUAACAUUCAAAUCCCGUUCGAGCCGGCACGUGGUCUGUUGUCAAGAAAGCACAGGACAACGCAGGAAAGGCAUCGCAGGAGCAACGCGAUCACCGGAGGAGUCAGCCGUUUGGUGGGACGAGCGCAUAAACUCUCUGAGCUAACCGUUGCAACGCAGAAAUAGGAAAACCAGUUCAUUACAACUCAUUACUACUAACGAGUGACACCUGUCAACCGAAACAUAUUGCACAUUGUAGAGAAUUUAACCUCACCACGAGACUUAUUUAAGCUGGAUACCAUUACGUAUGGCUGACGGCAGAUUGCGGGGGAGAAGCGAAGUAAAGCGAAGCGAGAAUCUAUGACAAAGCGAGAAGACGGAAGAGUAAGAGCUUUGCGAAACACGAUUUAUAUUGCUAUCUUUUAGUUAUUAAUGUGAACGUGUGGAGGCGGACGAGGAAUUUUUUGCAUCAAGCGCAACUAAUAGCUUUCUGUUAAAAAAAAAUGGUGUCUACCCCCUGAACUGCAAUUGAAAUGAAAAAGGCGAAUUCAAUAAUUUAUAUAAUGUCUUAC